This 439-nucleotide non-coding RNA is filed under the name Trichobilharzia regenti. RNAcentral's name for it is "Eukaryotic small subunit ribosomal RNA". It matches the Rfam family "Eukaryotic small subunit ribosomal RNA", at positions 4 to 496 of the family's 1831-position model. Lineage: Eukaryota; Metazoa; Platyhelminthes; Trematoda; Strigeidida; Schistosomatidae. The record is from Rfam by way of RNAcentral.
CUGGUUGAUCCUACCAGUAGUCAUAUGCUAGUCUCAGAGAUUAAGCCAUGCAUGUCUAAGUACAUACCUUAAAACAUGAAACCGCGAAUGGCUCAUUAAAUCAGCUAUGGUUCCUUAGAUCAUAUAUACUACAUAGAUAACUGUAGUAAUUCUAGAGCUGUUACAUGCAAUUAUGCCCUGACCCGCAAGGGAACAGGUGCAUUUAUUAGAACAGAACCAACCAGGGGCAGUUUCGGCUGUCUCAGUCGGCCUUGUGUCGGUUACGGAUCUUUCAAAUGUCUGUCCUAUCAAUUUGUUGGUAGGUGAUCUGCCUACCAUUACAAUAACGGGUAACGGCGAAUCAGGGUCAGACUCCGGAGAGAAGACGGCAGCAGGCGCGAAAAAUACCCACUGCCAGCACGGGGAGGUAGUGAAGAAAAAAUAUUGUAAAGUGUAGUCG